AUACGGAGGGUGCAAGCAUUGUUCGGGAUUACUGGGCGUAAAGCGCGCGUAGGUGGUCUGUCAUGUCAGAUGUGAAAGUCCACGGCUCAACCGUGGAAGUGCAUUUGAGACUGGCAGACUUGAGUACUGGAGGGGGUAGUGGAAUUCCCGGUGUAGAGGUGAAAUUCGUAGAUAUCGGGAGGAAUACCGGUGGCGAAGGCGACUACCUGGCCAGAUACUGACACUGAGGUGCGAAAGCGUGGGGAGCGAACAGGAUUAGAAACCCCAGUAGUCC
RNAcentral lists this ribosomal RNA (274 nucleotides) under uncultured bacterium. RNAcentral describes it as "partial 16S ribosomal RNA". It matches the Rfam family "Bacterial small subunit ribosomal RNA", at positions 523 to 796 of the family's 1533-position model. The record is from RNAcentral.